UUAGGACUAUGGUUUGGACGA
RNAcentral lists this microRNA (21 nucleotides) under Glycine max (soybean). RNAcentral describes it as "gma-miR5770a". The record is from miRBase by way of RNAcentral. Lineage: Eukaryota; Viridiplantae; Streptophyta; Magnoliopsida; Fabales; Fabaceae.